GGUUUGCAAGUCUCCCCCCCCCCCCCCCCCUCUCUGCCUCUCUCUCUCUCUUUCUCUCUGCUCAUGCAGACACCCGAACAGUUAAGCGAGAAAACACACACGCAUUAUUCUCACCUUGGCACCAUCACUAUGACAAAUUAGCCCAUGCAACAAACGCUUUAUUGCAUAUAUAGUGUAUUGUUUGAGGCAAUAAAUCCCGUAAGUCAAACGCUUUGCAAGUUGGGACACCUGCUCCUUCUGUUAAUGUGCAGAAUUUUAAAUUAUUAGUAUUAUUAUUACUAUUUGCGGUACUACUUGUCGUAGUAAUAAUAUCACUACACCGCAAGUUUGCUCAAAGCGAUGAUAAAUCAUUGAUUCUCCUUCCCUUUUCUUCACUCUGAGCUUUCCUUUUCGAUCCGUCCCCUACCAUUAAAAUAAAACACCCUUCACUUCAGCUUUGCUCGCAACGCUUCAGAAAUGUAAGAAAAUUGUGCCAUCUACCCGCUGCCCCUGGAACUGAAGCUUAUAUCCCAAGACCUCGGAGACCUCAACUCACUUCUAACGCAGAUGGAUGAAAAAAAAGGCUGGUAGCGCCUCCUUGCACGCACGUCCAAAGCAGCUGCCGGCUGCUAUUAGGCUGUAACUUUACAAGUAAUGUGUGUUUUAAGCACCUGUCAUCCACUCUACAUCCCACUGCGUCUGUCUGUCUCUCUCUGUGUGUGGAUAUGAAUGGAGGAGGGAGCAGGAAAUAGGCUGCCGCGUUCACAUGAGGAGCAGGGCUUUAGGAAAAUUCAAAUAGUCUGUUUGGGUGAAUUUGUAAUAAUAAUAAUAAUAAUAAUAAUAAUAAUAAAAACUGUAGCCAGGAAUAAAUCUGCAUUGUCGCAUAUUUAACGUAAACCAAAGUUAUAAUUUCCCCCUUCCCUCCUCCCAAAGAAAAAAAUUGGUUGCAUGAUAUGAUUUAUUUAUUUAUUUUUCUCCCUAAGCUUUGGAUUGGUUUGGAAGUUGUAUAUUUAUUUUUUUAUUAAAAAAACACGCACACAAACAAAUAAUCAUCCCCCCCUCCCCCCAAUAUUUCCGGAUAAAGGGUGAUGGAGGAACUUAUCUUUUCAGUUGCUGUGGAAUAGCGUCAUUUUGUUCAAGGUUUUAUGUGAGGUUUAAAAAAUAACAGGAAACGACAUUCAUUUGAAAAUUAAAAGUAAAAUAAAAAAUAAAAAAAUUGAAAAGUCGCGUUUUAAAAUUUAUAUGAUGAGUUAAAGAAAGUUUAAAUUGACGAAGAGCAGAAUUAGAAACCCUUGUGCAGCGUUCUUAAUCAAACCAAACACGCUCACAUGACGCAGGGGCGCAACCAAAAAGCUUUACUAGGGGGCGACAAGAUGUGGGGGCCACCAAUAACCAGAAACGAUAGUAACAGAGUUUCAGAUGUUUUAUUAUUAAUUUUGCUCUUACAGAAGUUUAAAAUGUGGGAGUUUAUUCUUCAUACCCACCAUGUUACCAAAAGCCGUCUGAUUUGACGCCUCAGCCCACACAUAAAUUAAGGUCAAUGAUUUUAAAAUACAAUUUCUUUCGUAACAAGUACAUGUACAGUGAAUAUUUUUUAGCAAUUCUGCACUGCAUAAUCUCUUAAUAUGAUUUUACUGUAGAUUUAUUGUGUAUUUUAAUUCUGAGAUAGUAAUUUAAAUUACAAUAUUAAUAAUUAACAGGUAAAAAUAUUUUGUCAGUACCUAAUAUUUGUAGAUGUGGGUGAUGUUCUUAGACAUAUAUUCAAUGAAAAACUUUUUACUACAGCCAUUUGUAAUAUUUUUUUACAUUUACAAUGCAAUUUUUGGUAUAAAAGCAUCAGACUGUACAACAGAACCUACAGUAAUCAUUUAAAACAGUCAAGUUUUUAUUUUAUUCUGACAGCAGGUCUGUAAAAUGUUUCAUAAUUUCUUGUUGUACAGAAAUUGUGCUGUAUUUUAGUUUAAGUUAACAGUUACCUAAUACUGUAAUACUAACAAUACAAUAGCUAGAGAAUAAUUGCUGACAUUGUGUUACUUUUUCUUGAUUAUUUAAUAAAUUAUGAUUUUCUUGUAUAACAAAACAACAACAAAAAUCUCACUUCUUUAGAUCUAUAGAAAACUUAGUGUCCAUUGUUCAAACACACAUUUUCGACCUAAGUCUUGCUUCGUUUAAAAGUGUAGUACUGGUUGAGGUUGCAACAGAGUUGAAAUUGAACACCAGGUAUGAAUAAAUAAAGGAUAAAUCGGUAAAUGAAUAAAUAUAUCCCAUCAAAGUUAGUAUUUUCCUCUCGUAAAUUUAUAAAAAGUAGAUAUUCAUUUAAAAAAUAGCAUAAAUACAAAAUUGUCUGCACAGGUUGUGGUUGAAUGUCUAGGGUGAUCAUUGCGCCCUCUGCUUUUGGAUUUACAUGUAUUUAAGGGUUGUUUUUUAGCUUAGAAAAAAGUUAAUAAAAUAAAUGUAUGCAUGCUAAAGGUCCCGCACAUAUUUACCCUAAACAAAGACGUCGAAAGUCAAACUUGUUUAGUCCAUUUGAUCAACUUCAACCAGCUUCAUACCACAUGUAGGCAUAAAGAGAUGUCGCUACUUAGAUGUUCUUUCUGCAUCCUCCUUUCGACCACCUCUCCUCGCUGUUUAGGCAUUAAAAUCGUGCAUUUUCAGUGACUGUUGCUCAAUGGGUGGCUGUUAUAAUCUAGGAUAAUAAUAAAAAUAUAUUUAUAACUGAAAGGCUAAACUUUCAGAGAGAAGCAGACAGAGUGGGUGGGAAUCAAACUGCUCUAUUUUAAAACAGACACGAGAGCAUUUUUUUUUUUCUUUAAUCACUCCAUGUGAUUUGUCUUCAUAUCUACGAUCACACACGGAGGAGAAGAUGGAGAUGAGUGGUUAGAGAGACCGCAGACACUGUCCUGGAUAUUAAACGCCCCACGCCCCAUCCGCCUCCCCUCCUCAAGGCUCCCAAAACCCUGACGCAUUACUUCAUGUGUAUUUAUUUUGUAUCGAUUCUAAUACUCUUUAUUAAGAUGAACCACAUAGGCGUAUUUAACCACACGAGUAUUUAAAGGUGCGCCACUCUAAGGCCGUUUGGCGCAGGGGGAAGGCUCACCUGUCUCCUUUUAGGGCUCCCUCCGGGUGUGAAUGUUAAGCUGCAUGUUUAUUGUGCACGCGCGUGUAAAAUAACUUGCUUCUUUUUAAUGUCUCCCAUAAAUGAUGAUUAUGGAUGGAGAUGGGGGUGAUGAUGUAUCAUGAUGUGGGAAAACGAUGGACAUCAGCAAGGUCUGAGUUAAAAUAAGGAAAUAUCUUUUUAAUCAAUUCUGCAUUAAUUAGAUGGGCAGGGCAAACCUCCCCUUACGCGUCUUUGUGGUGAUGAGGGAAGAUGCCCGGUUCCCUUAAAACGCAGCACAGCGCGCGCGUUUGUGUGCGUGUGUGCAAGCGCGUGCGUGCGCCUGUGUGGGUGCGUUUGUCUCAUUUUUGCCGAAAGUUCCAAAAGGCUCACUUGGCAGCGCUCUCUCAAACUGUGAAAUUAAUUUGGCAAAAUGCUGGUCGAUGCUGCUGGUGAUGGUGGUAGACUGAAGGUGCGUUAACAAUAAAACUCACACCCUGCGCGUUAUUUCUCCUCCAUUCUUUACCAUCUUCCUCAUCUUCGUCGCUAUUCUCGCUGCCAUCAUCUUCCUCAUCAUCAUUUCCACCACACAAUGAUCCGCAGCCUACAUAUGCUCCCAAGUUUCCACAGGUAAAAAAAGAAACAACAACAAAACCAAACAAACAAACAAACAAAAAACUUGACAAAUCAUGUUAAUUGUGUUUCAGUACGUCUUCACUAACUUUUUGUUUCGGGCAUUUUGUAAACACAUUAUAAUACGAAAACACCUUCUGUUUCUCUACAGACGAACAGAAAUAAGGCCUGCAUUUUGUUAAAUGCUCUCAUUUAACUGGCCUGUUAGUCUUAAAUAUACGGCCCAGCGGUUGAUUUCUUUUCCAUAACAAAUGUACAGUGAGCAUCAAAACACAGCUAGAUCAUAAAUAUGGAUUCCCACUAUUUCAAAAUUGAAAGUUUUUUCAGUCCACGUUAAAUCAACAGCUUCUGAUUUUUGUGCAUUUGGAUCAAUGACAUUAGAAGAGGCACAAACGUUUUACAGAACAUGUUUGAAGAGGGAAUUUGAUUUAAAACUUACUUGCAAAAUAAAGUAAAAACCAACAGCUUAUUUAAAAUAACUCCGAUUAUUACUUAGGACCUAUCAUUAUGUCACCAGAAGCAUGUCAGCCUGGCUGAUGUAUUUUGUGGAACAUAUUAAUUUUGAUCAAAUAAGGACUUUCAAAAAACAAAAAACAAAACAACAACAAAAAAAAGCUUAACAAAUCAACCGUGUUGCAGCAACUGUAUGUAAAUUGAGUUUGGUUGGCUUAAAAAGUGUAGCUUUAAUGCAGAAGUUUUGUAGAGUUUUGUUCAACUUAUUUUUUACAGAGUAUAGCCUAUAUUUCCUUUCAGGUUUGGUUCACUUACACCAGACACCAUAAAGACAAUAAGUGUUUGAACAACUCCUUUCCUGCCGCACAGUCUGGAGUCUUUCACCUCCAAUUCGCAGCUCUCUCGGACCUUUCUCAUGUGAAGAACACGCCGAACAGAUAUGCUUUGCAGAGCCCCCGCAUCCCCGCUUGAGAUUGCCACAGAUACCCCACAUCUGACAUUUUCUGGUGUUUGAUGAGUUUUUUUUUUUUUUUUGCCUCCGUGCAACAGUGUCUAUGUCCAGGAGAUGAGCAGAGAUCAGCGGGGAGCUAAAAAUCCACCCGGGAACAUGCAUCUACUAAUGCAUACAUGCUGUAAAUGUGCAACUAGAACCCCGAAUGCGACCUUCAAGAGAAAUUAAUUUUUAUUUCGCCCCCUCCUCAGUGACCCCGCAGCGUCCCGGGACCUCACUUUGGGAACCGGUGAAGCCUAUAUGUCGGACUGUGAUCAUGGGGUUGAAUUAGAUUACAGGGAAAUUACCCUCCUCCUUUCCACCCUCUACCCCCGCACCCCACUCCGCUCCCCGUCCUCCCCAUCCUCUCUGACUGACCCCUGCAGGUCCCGGGACCCGCGGCUCCGGGGACUCAAGCCAGCGCCCCCUCUCCCCCCAACACCCCGAACUAAUGAACAGCCAUAACACGUAAGAACUGGUGGCCGCCAAAAGACAGCGGCGUGCGGGCUGCUGUCAGAGCUGGCUGUGCGCACAGAAAUCGCUCAACCCUGUGAGAGGACAAAUCUUCACGGAGGGUCUCCGCAAAGAGAGAGAAAGAGAGACAGAGAUAGGAUUGGUGGGGCCGGGGGGUUGGGUGGGGUGUAGAGAUGUGGGGAGCGAAAAGGAAAUCGAUGUGGGGGAGCUACCGACUGUUGCAGCGAGAUGGCGCUGUUCUGCGUGUUUCACCGGAGCGGUGCUUUCACCGUUUCUUUCUUUUCAGUGGUCUCCAUCUGGAUUUCCGCUUCUUCUUCUUUUCCCCCCCCCUCAAACAAAAUAUUUUCAAUUGGAGUUUUUCUUUUAAUUAAUACAUUACUGGGAGAUAGUUUGAUUUUGGAAUUCUAGACACUUAAAUAUGUUUUUAAAGCAUACAAGAAAGAAAAUCAACAAAAAACCCAACAAACUGGAAUUUAAACAUCGGCCAUGAAGGGAAAGGUGCAAAUAUUUGUUUGGCUCUAAAAGAUAAAAGGAGCGCAAUUAUCUUCAGAUAUUUCGUUUUGUUUCGUUUUUUCUUUCUUUCUUUCCUUUUUUUCUUCCAUCUUUUUUUUCUUCCUGUCGUUCUUUCCUUUUUUCUUUCUUCUAUUCUGUCCUUUUUUCUUUCAUCUUUAUUUUUUUCUUUUCUUUCUUUCUUUGUUUCCUUUUACUUUCUUUUUCUUUCUUUCUGUCUUUCUUUCUUUCACAAUACUUGUUUAUCGAGCUUUAUUGCGACUUUAGGGUAGCCUUUAGAUAAAAAAAAGGUCAUUUUUACUUCUAAUUUAUCUUUUGAAUUUCGAUAAUCAAAUCCUAAAUGAUCAUUACUGUAGCAAUUCUCUUGCAGAGUUCCGCAAUGUACGGGAAAACAUUUAAAGAAACCAACAGAAUUAAAUAUGAUCCAAUAAGUAUACUUUACCUCUAAAUGUGACAUUAAUUUUCUUGUAAAUGUGUAAUUGUUCUUUUCAUCCCACUAGCAUAUAUUUUUCUUUUCUUUCUUUAUAUUAAAAUUGUUCCUACACUGGAUUGAUUUUUUUUUGAAACUCUGUACUUAACAUAAAAUAAGCAUAUUUGGUCUAAACAGUAAAAUAAAAUAAAUAAAUUACCAAUUGCAUGAUUAAAACUCCUAUCAUAAAAAUAAAUAAUAAAGAGGGUUACAUUUCAUUCGAUUUGAAAUCAGAUCAAAUUUGAGGUACGUUGAAAAAGUUGUAUCCGUACCAAAAUUGCACAUAUUUUAAAGUAAAAGGCGCACUAAAAUCAAAUUACUUCCAAAUGACUUCAAACUUGUUUGCCAUGUAUGUUUUUAUGGGAGAUCUGAAAGAAGAAGCAGUUGAAUGGAGACAGUUUAUGACGCACAAUGUUGUGGAUUCAGCGAUCAAACUCCCUGCAGCCUUGGUCAGUCCUCUGAACUUUACCACUAUGUGUAAACAAGUUGUCAGAGAAUAAUUUUCUCUUUCCCUCCAUUUUUUUCUCUUUUUAUUGGAAUGAAAAUUCAAUCUUCCAAGAUCAGAUUAGACGACUUUUUUUUUUUCUACUUCUCCUCUCCUCUCUCCCGGUUCCUUGUCAUCGCUGAGGCUGGACUUUGGUGGACCAUAAUGCGGCAAUUGUCGACGCUUUGUGACCCAUAAAAUUUGAGGGUGGCUAUUCUGGCUUUGCGAGGGGAGGCACCGUGCAAGCGAAAGCCCCUGCAACUCUGAGCAGAUCGGCGGAAAAAAGCAGCUACAAUCAAAAAGAAAAGUGCACCUAUAAGAACAGGUGCCAUUAUGCAGGUAAUUUUGUUAUGAUGUAUGAUGGAGCGUAUUUAAAUCUAACCGCUGUUUGCCCAGAUCAUGCAUUAAGACAUAUUUGCAGAACAAUUUUAGAUGUUGUCCCUUCAAUAAACAAAAUUUUGUGUAAGGCUUCGAAGUUUUGUAAUGUAAUAGGAAUUUUUAUUUGGCUUGCUUUUUUGUUUUUUUUAAGGUAAUAGAAAGGUUGUUUCUUCAAAUUGACCUCACUCGGAUUUUCGUAUAAUCAGACAAUUUGUAAAUGUAUGAACACGUAUUUCACUGAAACGUUGUUUUAUUCCGUAAACAUGCAAACUAUCAAAUAAAAACAAUAGAUAAAUCUCUAAAUGUGUCCCAUUUGCUGUUGUUUAAUACAAUUUUUCUUGAUGAUUAAUAAAAUGCAAUACAUAUCUUGCUCUUGAUGUGUGCAAUACAUUGGAUUUUUUUUUUUUACCUUUCUGUGUGUGUGUGUGUGGGUGCGUGUGUGUGUGUGUAUGCACAUAAUAAACACUUGUGCUGCCUGACAGAGGUGCGAAUCUGAGAGCUUUUCCACCAAAUGAAGUGCCAGCAGAAAGAGAAAUAAAGAGAUCUGCAGCUGUCAGGGGUCAGGCAGGGAGAGAUUGCUUCUAGAGAUCUUUUGAAAAAAAUCACACGUUUGAAGGCUUAGAGCUUUGCUGUCUCCGCAUUUCAAGCUCAGAUCAGUGGAAUCAGGGGAGGAAAAAAAAAAAGGAAGAACAUGGGUUGGGGAAUUCUGAUGUUGGGAUGGACACGGGAAGAGUGCUGUUUGGAGGUCUGUUUUAUGUACCUGAUCCUUUAGUGAGGGGAAGAAAGACAAGCCGAGUGUUUUGUUCGGUGUGUUGGAACAACAGUGUCUCUAAUGUCCGUGUGUGUAAAAAAGAAAUGUGUGUGCAGAAAUCUGCUCUGCUGCCGCCUCAAAUUUGAAGCGAGUCCCGACAAAAGAUCGACAACCUUAAGUGUUUCGCAAUUUCUGUUUAUUGAAUAAUAAUAAUAAUAAUAAUAAUAAUAAUAAUAAUAAUAAUAAUAAUAAUAAUAAUAAUAAUAAUAAUAAUAAUAAUAAUAAUAAUAAAAAUA
This is a long non-coding RNA of Gambusia affinis (western mosquitofish), 8011 nucleotides long. RefSeq lists it as uncharacterized. Lineage: Eukaryota; Metazoa; Chordata; Actinopteri; Cyprinodontiformes; Poeciliidae. The transcript is spliced from 2 exons. The record is from RefSeq and is a predicted model, not a curated record.